Athene cunicularia (burrowing owl) is the source of this 671-nucleotide long non-coding RNA. RefSeq lists it as uncharacterized. Lineage: Eukaryota; Metazoa; Chordata; Aves; Strigiformes; Strigidae. The record is from RefSeq and is a predicted model, not a curated record. The transcript is spliced from 6 exons.
CCAGCAGCUGCAGAACCUGCGGACACAAAUACCACGAGCUGUGCUGAACUGAACAGCGAGAAGAUGGCCAUAUAUAUUUAGCGUGGAAGCUUUGGAUUCAUGGUAUCAGAAAGCCUUGUCUUUGCGGGUAACCCAACCCAACAGUGCAUUGGAGAGAAGAAUGUCUGCUAUCAGAGGUUUUCAGGUCAUACUCAUCAUUGCAGCCUGCUUUAUGCAGAUCAUAUCUAUCCCAAUAUAACAUGGAAAUGGAGAAGGGGAGAAGCAGGAGCAAGAAAGUAAAGAUCAGUGUGCAGCAUUACUGCAGUCUCCUUUCUUCUGGGCAGAUUUGGUAGGUGUCUUCAGCCCUUUGGAGCCCACCUGACAAUCCGAGGAGACGUUUGGUGGCAGAUGCUUGCUAGGACUGCCCAAGAACAAGGAGAAAGUGAUGGAAGAUCCCUCUUCAACUGGAAACUUCAGCAGAUGUUUCUGAGGACCUGCCAGCACUGAAAAGGGAGAGGAUAUAGGAAGAUAAAGGACUAGACUAUAUUUAGAAGCAAGGAGCACCUUGGAGAAGAGCCCCAGGGUGGUCCUGAGGCAGGACAGACCCUCAAGGGGUACCACCUCACCCUGCUCACCGAGGAGCAGACUCCUCUCCCAAGUAAACCCUUGAGGAGUAAUUUGUUUGACCAAAG